Molecule: ribosomal RNA, 252 nt
Filed under: uncultured bacterium
Lineage: Bacteria
Description: partial 16S ribosomal RNA
Rfam family: Bacterial small subunit ribosomal RNA
Source: RNAcentral
UACGUAGGGUCCAAGCGUUAUCCGGAAUCACUGGGCGUAAAGCGUGCGUAGGUGGCGUGUUAAGUGAGAUGUGAAACCGUGUGGCUCAACCAUACGUUGUGUCUCAUACUGGCAUGCUAGAGGACAGCAGAGGCAAGUGGAAUUACGAGUGUAGCAGCGAAAUGCGUAGAUAUUCGUAGGAACACCAAUGGCGAAGGCAACUUGCUGGGCUACUCCUGACACUGAGGUACGAAAGCGUGGGGAGCGAACAGG